GACGAACGCUGGCGGCGUGCCUAAUACAUGCAAGUAGAACGCUGAAGAGAGGAGCUUGCUCUUCUUGGAUGAGUUGCGAACGGGUGAGUAACGCGUAGGUAACCUGCCUUGUAGCGGGGGAUAACUAUUGGAAACGAUAGCUAAUACCGCAUAACAAUGGAUGACACAUGUCAUUUAUUUGAAAGGGGCAAUUGCUCCACUACAAGAUGGACCUGCGUUGUAUUAGCUAGUAGGUGAGGUAAUGGCUCACCUAGGCGACGAUACAUAGCCGACCUGAGAGGGUGAUCGGCCACACUGGGACUGGGACACGGCCCAGACUCCUACGGGAGGCAGCAGUAGGGAAUCUUCGGCAAUGGGGGCAACCCUGACCGAGCAACGCCGCGUGAGUGAAGAAGGUUUUCGGAUCGUAAAGCUCUGUUGUAAGUCAAGAACGGGUGUGAGAGUGGAAAGUUCACACUGUGACGGUAGCUUACCAGAAAGAGACGGCUAACUACGUG
This 497-nucleotide ribosomal RNA is filed under the name uncultured bacterium. RNAcentral's name for it is "partial 16S ribosomal RNA". It matches the Rfam family "Bacterial small subunit ribosomal RNA", at positions 28 to 507 of the family's 1533-position model. The record is from RNAcentral.